Molecule: non-coding RNA, 222 nt
Organism: Exiguobacterium sp. AT1b
Lineage: Bacteria; Bacillati; Bacillota; Bacilli; Caryophanales
Source: Rfam
UGAAUGGCAUUGAUGAGGAGUAGUACGCAUCCUCCAUUCCUUUUAGAGACGCGACCGCUUGGUGAAAGGUUGCGAGGGAUGGACGCGGAAGUCGCCUCGGAGCUGACUUUCUGAAUGGAGUAGGAAAGUUCGGUCCAUCGACCGUUAUUCGAUUUUGAGGGCGCCACUUGUUGGCGAACUAAGGUGGUACCGCGGAAGAUCACGGCUUCUUUCGUCCUUAGC